This 497-nucleotide ribosomal RNA is filed under the name uncultured bacterium. Its description in RNAcentral is "partial 16S ribosomal RNA". It matches the Rfam family "Bacterial small subunit ribosomal RNA", at positions 28 to 507 of the family's 1533-position model. The record is from RNAcentral.
GACGAACGCUGGCGGCGUGCCUAAUACAUGCAAGUUGAGCGCUGAAGGUUGGUACUUGUACCAACUGGAUGAGCAGCGAACGGGUGAGUAACGCGUGGGGAAUCUGCCUUUGAGCGGGGGACAACAUUUGGAAACGAAUGCUAAUACCGCAUAAAAACUUUAAACACAAGUUUUAAGUUUGAAAGAUGCAAUUGCAUCACUCAAAGAUGAUCCCGCGUUGUAUUAGCUAGUUGGUGAGGUAAAGGCUCACCAAGGCGAUGAUACAUAGCCGACCUGAGAGGGUGAUCGGCCACAUUGGGACUGAGACACGGCCCAAACUCCUACGGGAGGCGGCAGUAGGGAAUCUUCGGCAAUGGACGAAAGUCUGACCGAGCAACGCCGCGUGAGUGAAGAAGGGUGUCGGAUCGUAAAACUCUGUUGGUAGAGAAGAACGUUGGUGAGAGUGGAAAGCUCAUCAAGUGACGGUAACUACCCAGAAAGGGACGGCUAACUACGUG